Molecule: non-coding RNA, 84 nt
Organism: Stegodyphus mimosarum
Lineage: Eukaryota; Metazoa; Arthropoda; Arachnida; Araneae; Eresidae
Source: Rfam
UUUCUAGUUGAGUGUCAAUCUUUCAUUUUUUGUUGUUAUUCUAGAAUAACAACAAAAAAUGAAAGAUUGACACUCAACUAGAAA